This 402-nucleotide ribosomal RNA is filed under the name Triticum aestivum (bread wheat). RNAcentral describes it as "partial small subunit ribosomal RNA". The record is from RNAcentral. Lineage: Eukaryota; Viridiplantae; Streptophyta; Magnoliopsida; Poales; Poaceae.
AUGUCGAUGACGGCCGGCCACAUACCGCAGCCGGCGCGGCUUGCUUCCAGUGGGGGCGCGCGAGCGCACCCACUGGGUGUAGCCUCUGAGCCUCCGGGCGACGCGAAGAGUCGGCCGGAGGGUCUUGCUGUUGAUGAUGUGGACAGCGGCGAUGGAAACACCGGUUGCGGCCGGCGUCAGUCCCGCAACCCGCGUGUAGCCUCCGAGUCUCCGGACGAGGAGGGGGUUCCCCUCAGCGAUGAUCUUGCAAAAGACAAAGUUACUCCGCGCAUAUAUAUAUAUCAAAUAUUUGCUUUCAGCAUUGUAAGUUUUAUGCGGAGGGUGCCGACUCGGUUUCGUCUGAGCCCCCUUCAGUCUUCUUCAAGUCCCCUCUGCUCUUUGGCUUUGCCUCUGGUUAGCUAG